GUCUAUGGCCAUGCUACCUUGAACAAGCCAGAUCCCAUCUGAUCUCGGAAGCUAAGCAGGAUCGGGCCUGGUUAGUACUUGGAUGGGAGACCACCUAGGAAGACAACAUGCUGUAGGCG
Ribosomal RNA from Pteropus vampyrus (large flying fox), 119 nucleotides. NCBI's taxonomy places the organism in Eukaryota, Metazoa, Chordata, Mammalia, Chiroptera, Pteropodidae. The record is from Ensembl.